Molecule: signal recognition particle RNA, 283 nt
Filed under: Carlito syrichta (Philippine tarsier)
Lineage: Eukaryota; Metazoa; Chordata; Mammalia; Primates; Tarsiidae
Description: Metazoan signal recognition particle RNA (ENSTSYG00000032933.1)
Rfam family: Metazoan signal recognition particle RNA
About the family: The signal recognition particle (SRP) is a universally conserved ribonucleoprotein. It is involved in the co-translational targeting of proteins to membranes.
Source: RNAcentral
GCCAGGUGCAGUAGUAUUUGCCUAUAGUCCCAGCUACUUGGGAGGUCAAGGCAGGAAGAUGGCUUGAGUUCUGGACUGUAGCGUGCUCUGCCUGUUGGGUGUCUACACUAAGUUUAGCAUCAAUAGUGUGACUUCCUGGGAUUAGGGGACUACCAGGUUGCCUAAGGAGGAGUGAACUGGCCCAGGAUAGAAAUGGAGGAUGUCAAAACUCCCGUGCAGAUCAGUAGUGAGUUCGUACCUGUGAAUAGCCACUGCACUCCAGCCUAAGCAAUGUUCUAUCUCU